AUCUGUCCAAGUAAACCAAAGUUUAAAAAUACAUACAAAUUUAGAGAACGUAUUCUUAUUUCGAUUGUAUAAUACAACAUGUCUUCGGGUUUCCGUCUGAUAACCGGAAUCUCUGCGGCUCUGAUGUCUCUGCUCAGUCCUGAGAAUCUCGGCUCUGUACCCAACGUCAGUAGAUGCGGUGCAGCGUGUAUCAGCGACCCUCGAUGCGGUGGAUUCGUUUGGGAUACACUCGAGCCGGUGGCAUGCAAGUUUGUGGUGGACCGAGAUGAAGCAGGCGCUGAGUGGGAGAUCGUCCAACAGGCCUAUACCUACUAACAACAUACGACAAUGCAACCUUGGUCGAGAUUCCUGCUCCUCUGCACUUAUCUUGGCAACAAGCGUCCAAGGAGUGUGCUGACAAGGGCGCCAGACUCGUCACGUACCCUCGUAACGUAAAGGAACGAGUGGCACUGACCAUCAGACGUCAAAGUUGGUUCUACGUAGACCUCCAGCGUCAGGAUGAUGGUAGUUACUCGUCAGUCAACACAAACAUGGUCCUACCAAGCGACCAUGACUUUCAGUGGUACCACAACAACCCGCAUGGAGGGUCUGAAAAGUGCUUGGGGAUGGGAGGUUCUUACUUGGAAACGUUCGACUAUCCUUGUGAUCGGGUUGACGAUUGGGACUACAGCGUGUUUUGUCUUGUAGAAUAAGCGCUGCUAUUGACUUCAUUGAUGUUUUACUUAUAAAUUGUUGUUGUUGCAUGUAAAUUUCUUUCGCGUGGGUCAACAAUAAUUGAUCUAAGCAGAUCCAAGACGCAGGCUGUGUUCUCGCACGCGACAAAAAUGAGUUGAGUUCAAUCCUGUUGUCUCGUUUAAUAAAUUCCGAUUUAUACAAGGACUAAACCACGACAUGUGUUAGUACAAACAACGUGACGCGAAGAUGUCAACUGACUAGAAUUUUUUCAUUAUAUACGUUGAAGUUGCUCGUUAAUAAACAUUGGAUAUUUGCAUUAA
Hyalella azteca is the source of this 995-nucleotide long non-coding RNA. RefSeq lists it as uncharacterized. NCBI's taxonomy places the organism in Eukaryota, Metazoa, Arthropoda, Malacostraca, Amphipoda, Hyalellidae. The record is from RefSeq and is a predicted model, not a curated record. The transcript has 4 exons.